RNAcentral lists this ribosomal RNA (253 nucleotides) under uncultured bacterium. RNAcentral's name for it is "partial 16S ribosomal RNA". It matches the Rfam family "Bacterial small subunit ribosomal RNA", at positions 524 to 776 of the family's 1533-position model. The record is from RNAcentral.
UACGGGGGGGGCAAGCGUUGUUCGGAAUUACUGGGCGUAAAGGGUUCGUAGGUAGCUUGCUCAGUCAGACGUGAAAUCCCUCAGCUUAACUGGGGAACUGCGUCUGAUACUGGCGAGCUUGAGUGCAGGAGAGGAACGCGGAAUUCCAGGUGUAGCGGUGAAAUGCGUAGAUAUCUGGAGGAACACCGGUGGCGAAGGCGGCGUUCUGGACUGCAACUGACACUGAGGAACGAAAGCCAGGGGAGCAAACGGG